AGUGAACGCUGGCGGUAGGCCUAACACAUGCAAGUCGAACGGCAGCACAGUAAGAGCUUGCUCUUACGGGUGGCGAGUGGCGGACGGGUGAGGAAUACAUCGGAAUCUACUUUUUCGUGGGGGAUAACGUAGGGAAACUUACGCUAAUACCGCAUACGACCUACGGGUGAAAGCAGGGGAUCUUCGGACCUUGCGCGAUUGAAUGAGCCGAUGUCGGAUUAGCUAGUUGGCGGGGUAAAGGCCCACCAAGGUGACGAUCCGUAGCUGGUCUGAGAGGAUGAUCAGCCACACUGGAACUGAGACACGGUCCAGACUCCUACGGGAGGCAGCAGUGGGGAAUAUUGGACAAUGGGCGCAAGCCUGAUCCAGCCAUACCGCGUGGGUGAAGAAGGCCUUCGGGUUGUAAAGCCCUUUUGUCGGGAAAGAAAAGCAGCAGGUUAAUACCCCGCUGUUCUGACGGUACCCAAAGAAUAAGCACCGGCUAACUUCGUG
Molecule: ribosomal RNA, 492 nt
Filed under: uncultured bacterium
Lineage: Bacteria
Description: partial 16S ribosomal RNA
Rfam family: Bacterial small subunit ribosomal RNA
Source: RNAcentral